UAACCUGGUUGAUCCUGCCAGUAGUCAUAUGCUCCGUUCAAGGGCUAAGCCAUGCAUGUCUCAGUGCACACGGUGCACCAGUGGGUCUGUGAAUGGCUCCUUACAUCAGCAGUCAUCCGAGUGAUAGAGUGAGCACGAUGCCAGGGUCUCGCAUGGGCAUCCAGUUGGACAUCCUCCAAAACCUUGAGGCUAAUACACGUUCGAAACAGUCAGCCAUGCGACUGCUCCACGCAGGACACACCCGGGACCUGUCCCCUGGCGCCCCUCACGGGGCCGACAGGGGCGGCCCUCGGGUGGUGGCCGAUUGCACCCAGCCGAUACGAAGACCAGCGGUCGCCAAGACCAGUGUGUGUGUGGCCGACUCAGGCUGGUCCCUUCCUUGGGACAGCUGCGCUGGCAGACUCCGCGUGCCCGGCGUUGCCCCUUCACGGGGGUGCGUCGUGGCACCCUGCUUGAUCACAAGAACUUCUGACCUAUCAGCUUGGACUGUGGUGUAGUGGACCACAGUGGCCUUGACGGGUAACGGAGAAUCAGGGUUCGAUUCCGGAGAGGGAGCCUGAGAGAUGGCUACCACUACCAAGGUGGGCAGCAGGCGCGCAAAUUGCCCAAUACAAAAGCCCAGUGUGAGGCAGCGACGAACUGCAGCAAUCCCGCUGGUAUUCUUCACCAGUGGGACUUGGAAUGGAUGCAAUCCAAACACAGUGAUGAGUAUCAACUGGAGGGCAAGUCUGGUGCCAGCAGCUGCGGUAAUUCCAGCUCCAAGGGCGUAUACUAACAUUGCUGCUGUUAAAACACUUGUAGUCUGCUGCUGGGCUGCAGGUCUGCCGAGUGGCCGGCCUCCCCGUUGUCUCCGUGCCCCUCGCGGGUGCGUUGCACGGGGUGUGCUGGACUCAACCCUCGGCAGUAUGCUCCUGCGCCCAAUCAUCUUCGUCUGUGGAUGGUGAGAAUGGCUCCUGCCGAAAGCCCCCUUCACUGGGGGCCAAAGCGGUCUCGCCUGCAACACUUGCAAGGACGCUCGGGGGCGUGGCCUCGCGCCACGCACGCCUCUCGGCCUCCCCGUCCGCCACCGGAGUCCACCAUCGCUGACACCCUGGAAAACUCAGUGUGCUCAAAGCAUCCUCCUGAUGGCUGAAUGCCUGUCCAUGGAAUGUCAGAGUAUCGACCGAGUGUGGCAUUGGAGAGUUGUGCUGGCCUUGGAGCCCACUCCGGGCAACCUGGUGGGUGCACCUGCGGCUGUGGCGCCCGCUGCGCGCCCGCUCGGGGGGUUCAUCCCUCCCCUGCGGGGCCGCCGCAGCGGUGCGUCCGCACCGCAGCCUGCACCCUCCAACCGGCCACGAUGGGACUGCUCAGGGUGAAAGAUAUCAGAGCGCCAGAGGUGAAAUUCUUAGAUCGCUGUGAGAUCAACCGCAGCGAAGGCGUUCUGCAAGUGCACGUCCGUCGAUCAAGAAUGAGAGUCUGGGGAGCAAAGAUGAUCAGACACCGUCGUAGUCCAGAACUGUAAACUGUGCCAGCCAGGCCUUGGCGGGGAAAUACUCCUGACCCUGCCAGGGCCACUCCUCCCACAACGAGAAAUCCACAGCCUGUGGGUUCAGGGGGGAGUACUGUCGCAAGGCUGAAACUUAAAGGAAUUGACGGAAUGGCACCACAAGGCGUGGAGUAUGCGGCUUAAUUUGACUCAACACGGGGAAUGUUACCAGGUCAGGACACAGCUGGGAUGGACAGAUUGAGAGCUCUUUCUUGAUCCUGUGGAAGGUGGUGCAUGGCCGCUCCUGAUUGGUGGAGUGAUUUGUCUGGUUGAUUCCGAUAACGAGUGAGACAUCUGCCUCCCAAUAGCCUGGAGCUCGUAUCCUGUAGGGCACAGCCCCGCGGCGGCAGCCGAGUGCGGUGUGGCGGCCUCGUGUCGUCCACACCGUCUCUCGGAGAUGCACCACGGUGGCUCCCGAGAGCUUUCCAGUUCAGCUUCUCUGAGGUGCUGUGCCCGCCGCCAAGGGCAUGCAUGCUAGAGCCAACAGCAGGUCUGUGAUGCUCCCAGAUGUCCUGGGCCGCACGCGCACUACAUUGACUCGGUGAAGGUGUCGCAACCAGCUCGCCCUCGCCGCGAGCCCUGUCCGGAAGUGGAUGGGAAAUCCUGCAAACCCGAGUCGUCCUGGGGAUAGAUGAUUGCAACUGUCUGCCUUGAACGUGGAAUGCCUAGUAUGCCUGGGUCAUCAGCCCAGACAGAUUGUGUCCCUGCCAUUUGUACACACCGCCCGUCGUUGCUACCGAUGAUGGCUGGAUAGAGUCAUCAGGAGGUCGGGGCGCCGCUGGCUUUCCCCUCGGGGACUGCCUCCGCCCACGCCGAAAUUGGACAAUGUCCAGCUGUUAGAGGAAGCAAAAGUCGUAACAAGGUUGCUGUAGGUGAACCUGC
RNAcentral lists this ribosomal RNA (2407 nucleotides) under Euglena gymnodinioides. RNAcentral describes it as "SSU rRNA". It matches the Rfam family "Eukaryotic small subunit ribosomal RNA". The record is from RNAcentral. Lineage: Eukaryota; Euglenozoa; Euglenophyceae; Euglenales; Euglenaceae.